Molecule: non-coding RNA, 156 nt
Filed under: Luminiphilus syltensis NOR5-1B
Lineage: Bacteria; Pseudomonadati; Pseudomonadota; Gammaproteobacteria; Cellvibrionales; Halieaceae
Also listed under: 1 other name
Source: RNAcentral
CCUACAGUCGGCGCGUCAGGUGCCUGCAGAUCCUUUGGAUAUGGGCAGGUUAAAAGGGAAGUCUGGUGCGACAACAGUCAAAGCCAGCGCUGCCCCCGCAACGGUAAUCGAUACUCCAAUCGACAGCCCGAUACCUGCCUGACGAAUCUUAUUCAC